This 26-nucleotide non-coding RNA is filed under the name Rattus norvegicus (Norway rat). Lineage: Eukaryota; Metazoa; Chordata; Mammalia; Rodentia; Muridae. The record is from RNAcentral.
UGUGAUCCUAGGUUGAUGGAUGGACC